This 253-nucleotide ribosomal RNA is filed under the name uncultured bacterium. RNAcentral's name for it is "partial 16S ribosomal RNA". It matches the Rfam family "Bacterial small subunit ribosomal RNA", at positions 524 to 776 of the family's 1533-position model. The record is from RNAcentral.
UACGGGGGGGGCAAGCGUUGUUCGGAAUUACUGGGCGUAAAGGGCUCGUAGGCGGCCAACUAAGUCAUACGUGAAAUCCCUCGGCUUAACCGGGGAACUGCGUCUGAUACUGGAUGGCUUGAGUUCGGGAGAGGGAUGCGGAAUUCCAGGUGUAGCGGUGAAAUGCGUAGAUAUCUGGAGGAACACCGGUGGCGAAGGCGGCAUCCUGGACCGAUACUGACGCUGAGGAGCGAAAGCCAGGGGAGCGAACGGG